Molecule: ribosomal RNA, 251 nt
Filed under: uncultured bacterium
Lineage: Bacteria
Description: partial 16S ribosomal RNA
Rfam family: Bacterial small subunit ribosomal RNA
Source: RNAcentral
UACGUAGGGGGCGAGCGUUGUCCGGAAUUAUUGGGCGUAAAGAGCGUGUAGGCGGUUCGGUAAGUCUGCCGUGAAAACCUGGGGCUCAACCCCGGGCGUGCGGUGGAUACUGCCGGGCUAGAGGGUGGUAGAGGCGAGUGGAAUUCCCGGUGUAGCGGUGGAAUGCGUAGAGAUCCGGAAGAACACCGAUGGCGAAGACGGCCUGCUGGGCAGUAGCUGACGCUGAUGCGCGACAGCGUGGGAGCAAACAG